Molecule: ribosomal RNA, 433 nt
Filed under: uncultured bacterium
Lineage: Bacteria
Description: bacterial SSU rRNA
Rfam family: Bacterial small subunit ribosomal RNA
Source: RNAcentral
AACGCGAAGAACCUUACCAAGUCUCGACAUUCGGACGGCCGUGCUGUAACAGGCAAUUCCAUAUGGGGCAUUCAAGACAGGUGGUGCAUGGUUGUCGUCAGCUCGUGUCGUGAGAUACGCCAUAAGUCCCGCAACGAGCGCAAAUCAUAAGGGCCGUAGCCAGCAGGUAUCAUCCCCCCCUUCGGACAGGUUACCCGGGACAACCUGGAGGAAGGGGGGGACGACGUCAAAUGAUCAUUCACGAUAAGGGUUGGGCUACACACGGGAUACAACCCAACAUACAAAGACAAGCAACAGGGACACCCAGACCACACCACUAUAACAUCUUCUGAGGGAAAGGAAUGGUUAACAACUGGUCAGGGGGAAGUCAAGAUCUGGUAGUAAUCGUGAAUCUCAAUGUCUGGCCGAAAAAGGUCCCGGGUCUUGCACACCG